AUGCUUUUGAACUGUGGUGCUGAACUCUUGAGAGUCCCUUGGACUGCAAGGAGAUCCAACCAGUCCAUCCUAAAGGAGAUCAGCCCUGGGUGUUCAUUGGAAGGACUGAUGCUGAAGCUGAAGCUCCAGUACUUUGGCCACCUGAUGCGAAGUUCUGACUCAUUGAAAAAGACCCUGUUGCUGGGCAAGAUUGAGGGCAAGAGGAGAAGGGGACAACAGAGGAUGAGAUGGCUGGAUGGCAGCACUGACUCAGUGGACAUGAAUUUAAGCAAAUGUAAGGAGAUGAUGAAGGACAGGGAAGCCUGGUGUGCUGCAAUUCAUGGGGUUGCAGAGUCGGACACGACUUGGCAGCUGAAAAACAACAACAGACCUCAAGAAGAUGUGACAUGCUCUCUCACCUCCCAACUGCUUUCUCAACUCUCUCCACCCAGCAGAGAAUUAUGGGGUAAGAAGGGGAAUGAGGAGACAAACAAGCUGCUAUACAAAUCUAACAGAUUAAUGAAAGAAGCCAAGCGUCCUAUUUAGAAGGAUGCUGCCAGCAGCCAGGGCAAGAAGCCGAGGGUGGCCAUCAACGC
RNAcentral lists this long non-coding RNA (575 nucleotides) under Capra hircus (goat). RNAcentral's name for it is "lncRNA (ENSCHIG00000002196.1)". The record is from RNAcentral. Lineage: Eukaryota; Metazoa; Chordata; Mammalia; Artiodactyla; Bovidae.